Molecule: ribosomal RNA, 567 nt
Filed under: uncultured fungus
Lineage: Eukaryota; Fungi
Description: eukaryotic LSU rRNA
Rfam family: 5.8S ribosomal RNA (bases 177-330)
Source: RNAcentral
UCCGUAGGUGAACCUGCGGAGGGAUCAUUACUGAGUGAGGGCCUUCGGGCUCGACCUCCAACCCUUUGUGAACACAACUUGUUGCUUCGGGGGCGACCCUGCCGUUUCGACGGCGAGCGCCCCCGGAGGCCUUCAAACACUGCAUCUUUGCGUCGGAGUUUAAGUAAAUUAAACAAAACUUUCAACAACGGAUCUCUUGGUUCUGGCAUCGAUGAAGAACGCAGCGAAAUGCGAUAAGUAAUGUGAAUUGCAGAAUUCAGUGAAUCAUCGAAUCUUUGAACGCACAUUGCGCCCCUUGGUAUUCCGAGGGGCAUGCCUGUUCGAGCGUCAUUUCACCACUCAAGCCUCGCUUGGUAUUGGGCGCCGCGGUGUUCCGCGCGCCUCAAAGUCUCCGGCUGAGCUGUCCGUCUCUAAGCGUUGUGAUUUCAUUAAUCGCUUCGGAGCGCGGGCGGUCGCGGCCGUUAAAUCUUUUACAAGGUUGACCUCGGAUCAGGUAGGGAUACCCGCUGAACUUAAGCAUAUCAAUAAGCGGAGGAAAAGAAACCAACAGGGAUUGCCCUAGUAACG